UCUCUCUGUGAGAAGACGACGACGAAGAUGCUUCGGCCGGAGUCUACCUCGACAGAGUCUAAUCUCUCUCGAUCAGAGCCUCGCCUGAAGAUGAUGAAGAUGCUCCUUAAAUCGUCCCAUGUAAAUCUCGUUUUCCAUUUCGUUAAAAUUUGAACUUGAAUAUGCAAAUUCGUUUACAUAAUCCUCGAUUUGAUUGCUGCGUUUUCACGCAGGGGCUCUUUGGAUGAUGGCGAUGAGUCAUUGAUGGUGAGAUCGGAGUAGGAAGGAUGAAGAUAAUUGCCGAGAUCAGAGGUUUUGUUUCCGGCGAUUCCAAAUCUUACUUCACUUCCUCGGUUGCUUGUUAGUGAGGGGAUUCAAGCUCGCAGCUCUUCAUCAUGAUGUAAAGCUCAAAGUGAACCUUCUCUCUUUGAUUCUCUUCAUUUUUUUAUCUUCUUUUAUUUGGCUAAGAUGUGAAACUGUGAGAAUUCGUGAAGUGGAUAAUGCUGAGAAUUGGUCUAUUGAUAUAUAGUGAUUUUGGAGUUUUGCUUGGUUUUGAUUCUUUGUUCAAAAUGCUUUCUUGUUCUCAAGUCUAGGAUACUGGAUUUAGAGAGCUCGUUUAGGGAGAUCAAUUAGGAAUUCGAGGUCUCCUCCCACAGAAUGUAGUUGUGUGUUUUUGUGUUCAGUAUAUAAACGCUAGUAGUUUUUCAAAAUUAUUAUAGUAUCUUUCUGCUAGUAAGAUAGUAUAUUUGUGUCUGAGAUAGUAUCUAUGAAUUUUUAUUGUGUUUUGUUCUCAAUAUGUAAGUGCAUUAGCUUUCUAUAGUAGUACGAAUGGAAUCAAGAUCUAUGGCCAUGUCUGAGCGUCAUUCUAUGUACACAAUAUUUGGAUCAAACUUUCAGAAUUUUAUAGAUUUUUUCUACUACUCAAUUUGUUUGCGUUGAAUAAGUGAUGUUGCAUUGAUAAGCCGCGAUUGUAUUCUUCAGCUUGAUCUUCAGUUUCUGAAAUGAACAUGCUUGUGCUUAUUCUAUUCAUAUAUGUAUAGCUGUAUUUUUUUUAGUUCCAACGAUAAUAGCCUUUUGAUAUUGUAAUAGUAGCUUUCUAUGUCUCUCGUAGUAUCUUUAUCAGUAUCUUAUUUUUUCAAAUCAGUAGCUCUCUAUAACUAUUUUAGUGGUUUUCCAUUACAGUAUAGUAGCUUUAGUUCCUAUGUUAGUAUCUUUUCAAGCUGAUGUCAGUAACUUUUGUUUACCUUGCUGUAACUAACUAUUGUAGUGGAUUUACCAUUUCACUUGGUCUAUAGAAUCUUUUCGACGUAGUCAUAUAUAAUAUCCUUUUAUCUUUAUUUUAGUAUAUUUUCAACAUGGAAUCAGUAGCUUUCUUAUUGUAUGAUAGUAUAUUUUCAACACAGUUAUAGUAUCUUUUAAUGUCUAUGUUAAUAUCUUUUUGACAGUAUAGUAGUAUCUUUUCAAAAUGAUUUCAGUAGCUUACUCAUUGUGUGGUAGUAUCUUUUCAACGUGAUGUCAAUAGCUUCUAUUUGCAUUCCAAAUACUAAUAUUUUGUUGUUUAUUUGCUCUUGCAGAAUUCUUCCCUUUACAUUUGUAGCGAUAUAUUUUGAAAAUCAUGUGAAUUAGAACAUUGAAGCCUCCAUAAAGAUCAUUCGGCCAACCAAGAUCAUCGUGCUCAAGGUGGAAAAAUUAUGCCUUUGAGUUUUGAGCAUCACCAUUAAAAACUGAUAGUAGUUGUGGUAGUAGACUUCUGCAACUACAACAAUAGCUUUAUGUAACUAUGGAAGUAGCUUUAUACAUAAUUAUCAUUGUACAAGGCUUCAAACUUUUUGUAUUAUUGAAUUUGUUAGUAGUGGAUUUUUAUUAUGCAUGGUAGUAGCUUUUCUUAAUGGCAGUAGUAUCUUUUGUCGUUGGAUGUAGUAUCUUUUGUUGUUGGAGGUAGUAUAUUUUCCUGUUGGUGGUAAUAUCUUUUCUUGGUUGUGAUAGUAGCUUUUCUUAAUGGUAGUAGUAUCUUUUGUUGUUGGAUGUAGUAUCUUUUGUUAAUGGUAAUAGCUUUUGUUGCUAACGAUAGUAGCUUUUGUUGCUAACGAUAGUAGCUUUUGUUGCUAACGGUAGUAUCUUUCGUUGUUGGUGGUAGUAGCUUUGGUUGUUGAUAGAAGUGAUUUUUGUUGCUGGCGGUAGUAGUUUUCGUUGAUGACGGUAGUAUCUUUCGUUGUCAGUGAUAGUAGCUUUCUUUAUUGACAGUAGUGUAGCUCUCUUUGCUAGCGGUAGUAUCUUUUGUUGUCAGUGGUAGUAGCUCUCUUUGCUAGUGGCAGUAACUUUUGUUGUGUCUGUAGUUUCUUUUAUUGUCAGUGAUAGUAGCUUUCUUUGCUGGCCGUAGUAGUUUUUGUUGUCGGUGAUAGUAGCUUUUGUUGUCAGUGAUAGUAGCUUUUGUGGUCGGUAGUAGUAGUUUUUGUGGUCGGCAGAAUUCUCACUGAUGGUCGACCGGAAAAGUUCGCCGGAGGUCGGCCGGAGACCUUGCCGGAGGUUGGCCGAAGACUUUUUGUGGUUGUUAACUUUUUACAUUUGUGGCAGUUUUGUAAAUAUAAGAGAGAAAAUCUAAUUUUUUUGGUUGAAUGGCAAUAUGUAAUUUUGUUGAACUUUAAUACCAAAUAUAAGACACUAUUUAGACUUGGGUGGACUUAUAUGGGUAAAAAUGUUUAGGUGGAUUUAUAUAAGAGAAAAUGUCUUAAAGUAGAGAUAAUUGGCCCUUAAAAAAAAGGUUACUAAACUGAAAAGAAAAAUGAAAUUUGGAAUUCAUUAAAUACAUUAAAAAAUAACUAAAAUAAAUUCAUCAAUUGCAAAGUAAUUUUACAUAAUAGAAUGAUAAAAAAAUAAAUUAUUCAUUAUGGUGAGUUGAUUAAAUAUGAAUAGAGUAUAUGGCAAGAGUUGAUUAAGGUAGGAGAAAUAAAUUAGAUAAAUUAAACUUAGUAACAAUAAAUGGUGUUUAUAGUUUAAUAGGAAAGGAAUAGGGGCCAAACCCUCUAAAUUAGAACAAACUCUUUGAUAAGUAAAGCUUAAUACAUAAGUUCAAAAAAAUUACAGGGGUGCCAUAACACCCUUGGCCUCAAUAUAGCUCCGCCUGUGACCAAAGUGUAAGUGAAAAUAUCUAUUUUUUAGACGAAGUUACUACGUUUUAGUACACGAGGUCAUACUAAGCGAAAAAAUGUUUUUUCAGCACGAACCUAUGUUUUGAGUUCCUCGAGAUCACAAUGUAAAAGAUCAGAAUUGAGGACAAUCCUACAAGAUAUAGUUAAUCAUUGUCCAAUGUCACAUUUGGAGACAUAUUAAAAAACAUUGAUAUGCUAAGUUAACGAAGCUUCAAUGAUUAAUGUAAG
This 3356-nucleotide long non-coding RNA is filed under the name Fragaria vesca (wild strawberry). RNAcentral describes it as "long non-coding RNA (FVES_LNC000701)". The record is from RNAcentral. Lineage: Eukaryota; Viridiplantae; Streptophyta; Magnoliopsida; Rosales; Rosaceae.